Macaca mulatta (Rhesus monkey) is the source of this 1851-nucleotide long non-coding RNA. RefSeq lists it as uncharacterized. The record is from RefSeq and is a predicted model, not a curated record. Lineage: Eukaryota; Metazoa; Chordata; Mammalia; Primates; Cercopithecidae.
GACGGUGGGUACUGCCAGGCGUUGAGCAAGGCCGGGCGCCGCCCGCGACAGCUCACCUCCACUUCCGGUUCGGGGAGCCGCGCGGGGACCGUUAUGUCCGGUCCGGGAGGAGCUGCCAGGAAUGCGCAGGCGCAGGACGGACUCUGCGCAGGCGCAUUACGUUGCAUGUGACCAUGUUUCUUGCUCCCGCCUGAAGCCUCCCGGAAGUAAGGCCCUGGGAGGCGGGGCCGACCAAAUCAGGGCACCCACUGGCCGCUGCCAGGCUGAGCUAUGGAGCCAGAGCAGCUGAAAACCGCCUCCCGUCGGCCGAGUUAGGCGAGAGAGCCUGGUGGUGAAACCGACCUGGGACCCAGCCCUAUGGAGCUCACAGUCUAGUGGGGAAGUCUAUGAAACAAGUGUACAGUCACCAAUUGUGAUAAGCUCAAAAGGGAGAGGUGUGAACCACAGGCAGGAACAGAUGUGCCAUCGAAAUUUUUCCAACUGAGUUGCCGUUCUCCAGUAUGCAUAUUUUUCUAUGCCGCAAAUCCAAAAGACAUUUUGGAAACAAUUAAACAGCCUAUAAGAGGACAUUCAGCACUUUGGGAGGCUGAGGCGGGCAGAUCACUUGAGGUCAGGAGUUCGAGACCAACCUGGCCAAUAUGAAGAAACCCCGUUUCUACUAAAAAUACAAUAAUUAGCCAGGCAUGGUCGCGGUCGCCUGUAGUCCCAGCUACUUGGGAGCCUGAGGCAGGAGAAUCACUUGAACCUGGUAAGUAGAGGUUGCAGUGAACCGAGAUUAUGCCACUGCACUCCAGCCUGGGCGAGAGUGAGACUCUGAAAAAAAAAAAAGACGACGACACUCAGACUUACAACUGGCUUUUGCUUUAUUGUGUAAUUUACACAGCACAACCCCAAACUCCACACUUGGUUUUUCUCUUCUGCCUUCAUUACUCUUUCAGUAUCUAUGUUGACAGAGAUCGUUUCUCCCAACAGCAUAUGUGGUUUGAUCCUCAACCAAGACGCAUAGGCCCUACAAGAUCCCAGCCCUCCAACACGAAUACCUGGGCCCUCCCAUUUGACUGCAGCCUUGCCUGUUUGUACUGGGGCUCUGCCCUGGUCCUGUCACCCCUGAGGCGUCCGUAGGGCAGGAAUGCCAAACAGGAUCCGUGUGAUUUACUCUGAGUAAAUACAAGAGGCUGCUAGCAGCCCCCAGCUGAGGAUUGAGAGGCAGGCUAUGUCUGGGUUUCAUUUCAGAGAACACUGUGAUGCAUUAGCAACGUCUGCUAUGGAAACACCCAUUAGAAGUACCUGGAAGGAGGGUUUUGGGAAACGGACUCAGAAAGGAACAAGGUGUGUCCGUUCCAUUCUUGCCUUAGGUGGCUGUUCUGCUGCCCAGGCUGCACUGUCUCAGUGGCCAGGUGGCUGAGGAGGAAGUCUGAAGGCCACAGAGUCGCAAGUAACUUCCCUGGGGCCUGCGGGGGACAGCAUAGGCCCGAAGCUAGAGGAAGCUUGGAAGGGCGCCCACGCUGGGCCCUGCGGGGCUCUGCACACUGCAGGCCACCAUGGCGCUAGCUCUUUAUCCUCUGGAGUCUGUCUCAUCCCGGAGAAGACAGCUGGCUGGCCUCACAGCGUUAGAUGAAACUCAGGGGUAAAAACAUUUUUACAUGGCACGGACACACAAUGGGCUUUACCUCUGGAUACACUUAGAAACUUUCCAUCCAAACGAAAAGGGUGUAUCUUCUGUACGUUGCCAAGAAGCCUAAACUGAGUACAAGGACAAUCUUACUUUAAUCAAGUUCCAGAAUGAGGGUACACAGCUUCGAAAAGCAGUUUGUAGCAGAAGAUGCAAGGGCGUGUGUAAAGCCAUGUUUC